Molecule: non-coding RNA, 331 nt
Organism: Cinara cedri
Lineage: Eukaryota; Metazoa; Arthropoda; Insecta; Hemiptera; Aphididae
Source: the annotation of a GenBank genome assembly
AGUACCUAGACUCUAUAUAGCUGCAUAAUAAUAAGUCCAACGUAUGAAUGUAAGAUAGCUUCACCGAGAGCCAAAACUAAUUCAGUGGCAUAAGCGGAUUGGAAAACUCAGGGGCUAAACUCUCCCAAAUAUUCUAUUAGCCCAGCCCUCACCUCAUCUAUCCUAACCUAAUCAAACCUAACCUAAACUUCCCAAAAAUGUUCGUAUUAUGUUUUAAAAUUCAAAAGUUUGCAAACAAAUACAACAUUUUUCUCGCCUUUCCUUGUUAAAAACUGCAGAGUAUUUAAAUUAUUUUUUGUACAAAUUGGAAUUUAUAUGUAUCUAUAUUAUU